RNAcentral lists this ribosomal RNA (233 nucleotides) under uncultured bacterium. RNAcentral describes it as "partial 16S ribosomal RNA". It matches the Rfam family "Bacterial small subunit ribosomal RNA", at positions 109 to 334 of the family's 1533-position model. The record is from RNAcentral.
AGUAAUACAUAAGUAACCUGCCCUAGACGAGGGGGAUAACUAUUGGAAACGAUAGCUAAGACCGCAUAGGUACGGACACUGCAUGGUGACCGUAUUAAAAGUGCCUCAAAGCACUGGUAGAGGAUGGACUUAUGGCGCAUUAGCUGGUUGGCGGGGUAACGGCCCACCAAGGCGACGAUGCGUAGCCGACCUGAGAGGGUGACCGGCCACACUGGGACUGAGACACGGCCCAG